RNAcentral lists this ribosomal RNA (509 nucleotides) under uncultured bacterium. RNAcentral's name for it is "partial 16S ribosomal RNA". The record is from RNAcentral.
CUGGCACGAAGUUAGCCGGUGCUUAUUCUGUUGGUAACGUCAAAACAGCAAGGUAUUAACUUACUGCCCUUCCUCCCAACUUAAAGUGCUUUACAAUCCGAAGACCUUCUUCACACACGCGGCAUGGCUGGAUCAGGCUUUCGCCCAUUGUCCAAUAUUCCCCACUGCUGCCUCCCGUAGGAGUCUGGACCGUGUCUCAGUUCCAGUGUGACUGAUCAUCCUCUCAGACCAGUUACGGAUCGUCGCCUUGGUAGGCCUUUACCCCACCAACUAGCUAAUCCGACCUAGGCUCAUCUGAUAGCGUGAGGUCCGAAGAUCCCCCACUUUCUCCCUCAGGACGUAUGCGGUAUUAGCGCCCGUUUCCGGACGUUAUCCCCCACUACCAGGCAGAUUCCUAGGCAUUACUCACCCGUCCGCCGCUGAAUCCAGGAGCAAGCUCCCUUCAUCCGCUCGACUUGCAUGUGUUAGGCCUGCCGCCAGCGUUCAAUCUGAGCCAGGAUCAAACUCUC